Hypoxylon sp. NC1633 is the source of this 97-nucleotide non-coding RNA. The record is from the annotation of a GenBank genome assembly. Lineage: Eukaryota; Fungi; Ascomycota; Sordariomycetes; Xylariales; Hypoxylaceae.
GCCGUGGUAGAGAAAUGGUUAACUCGUCGGCCUUCUACUUGCUCUCGAAAGAGAAAUUGGAAGCCGAAGAUUCUGGGUUCGAGUCCCAGUCACGGUU